GGGGGUAUAGCUCAGCUGGGAGAGCAGCAGACUGAAGCACAAUGAUGUUUAAUUCUGAAGGUCCCGCGUUCGAUCCGCGGUACCCCCA
Non-coding RNA from Asterophora parasitica, 88 nucleotides. Lineage: Eukaryota; Fungi; Basidiomycota; Agaricomycetes; Agaricales; Lyophyllaceae. The record is from the annotation of a GenBank genome assembly.